GGGGCUGGCUGUGACACUGGUGUUCGCCACGGUCUUCAAAACCGCUUGGGAGGCGCGUGCCGUCUCCGCUAGGUUCGAUUCCUAGACAGUCCC
Molecule: transfer RNA, 93 nt
Filed under: Halalkalibacter okhensis
Lineage: Bacteria; Bacillati; Bacillota; Bacilli; Caryophanales; Bacillaceae
Description: Bacillus okhensis Selenocysteine transfer RNA
Rfam family: Selenocysteine transfer RNA
Source: Rfam by way of RNAcentral